This 625-nucleotide long non-coding RNA is filed under the name Phoenix dactylifera (date palm). Its description in RNAcentral is "long non-coding RNA (PDAC_LNC020412)". Lineage: Eukaryota; Viridiplantae; Streptophyta; Magnoliopsida; Arecales; Arecaceae. The record is from RNAcentral.
GAGCAAAAAUUGAAUUGACCUUAGAUGAAUGCAAUGAGAAAAACAACAAGGGAAACAUAAACAUACACGACGCAGGAAUAUGGAUGUCCAGGAAAAUCAACAGCAAACAGAGUUAAAAUCGAAACACGUCGUAAGAGAAACUUGGGAGCAAAUAAACUCAUGAUACAAUUCAACGGAAGAAACAAAAAGUACAAGCACUACACAACAUGCAGUCAUUGACUCAGAUCAAGGCCUGAGAACAAAAUCAAACUUCAAUAUAUACAAGCAUGAGGAAAGAAGAAUGGAGUUCUAGGGCUCGAUGAUUUCAUUUCCAUACACAAUUUUUAGCUUCAAUAACGAUCACAUACACAACUCAGUUCAGCAGUCAGAGUCCACCCUGUUUAAGGAUAGAUCCUAUCCAUGCAGCUGAGGAAGUGAUGGUCAAGACAGGAUAAUUAAACAUCAAUAUAUCGAGCAGUGAAUCAUUCGUUCAAGAGUUGCUAAAACCAGGAUAUAUGGGUAGGUACUGUUAAGGAAUAACAUCAAAGAUGCACAAGAAAUAACAUCAAAGAGGAAAACAAGGACCUAAGAUUUCUUGGGUAAUCAGAUAAGACAGUUUCACUGACAUAGAGAACAUUUUCCUCAA